GGAGGCGUCUGGGUUCCUGGUGGGCCCCCCGGGCUUCAACCCCGCGGAACGGCGUUCGACGUCGUUGGCAGGUUCGAUUCCUGUCCGCCUCCG
RNAcentral lists this transfer RNA (93 nucleotides) under Ornithinimicrobium pratense. RNAcentral describes it as "Serinicoccus sp. W204 tRNA-Sec". It matches the Rfam family "Selenocysteine transfer RNA". The record is from RNAcentral. Lineage: Bacteria; Bacillati; Actinomycetota; Actinomycetes; Micrococcales; Ornithinimicrobiaceae.